UACGUAGGGUGCAAGCGUUGUCCGGAAUUAUUGGGCGUAAAGAGCUCGUAGGCGGUUUGUCGCGUCGAAUGUGAAAACCCGGGGCUCAACCCCGGGCCUGCAUUCGAUACGGGCAGACUAGAGUUCGGUAGGGGAGUCUGGAAUUCCUGGUGUAGCGGUGAAAUGCGUAGAUAUCAAGAGGAACACCUGAGGUGAAGACGGGUUGCUGGGCCGACACUGACGCUGAUAGCGCGAAAGCCAGGGGAGCAAACGGG
Molecule: ribosomal RNA, 254 nt
Filed under: uncultured bacterium
Lineage: Bacteria
Description: partial 16S ribosomal RNA
Rfam family: Bacterial small subunit ribosomal RNA
Source: RNAcentral